Non-coding RNA from Podarcis lilfordi (Lilford's wall lizard), 4651 nucleotides. The record is from the annotation of a GenBank genome assembly. NCBI's taxonomy places the organism in Eukaryota, Metazoa, Chordata, Lepidosauria, Squamata, Lacertidae.
GGGCACGGCACAAUCGGAAGUGUGGACGAGCCCUCAUGCCCUUGGCUUAUUGGUCCAGCUUAAUUUUCAGCUUCUAAUUGCUUUCAAAUUGGCGUGACUGAAAGUGUGAUGCCUAUCCAUGCAGAUCUGCUGAUAGAUUGAGGUGGUGCAUCAAGUCCUCUGCUAUGAGAAAGAAGGCCUGUUCAAUAUGCCAGCUCCAGUGGAUGGGUCUGGGAUGAAGGCCAGAGGGAGGAGAGGUGUGGAGGUGUGUUUGAUCUCCCAAGCCUGAGUUUCCCCAUGCCUGUUUUAAAGGGAUUAUGGCUGCUAGUCAUGCUGGCUAUAUACUACCUUCAAUAUUCAGAACCCCAUGCCUCUGAACACAAGUCACUGGAGAGGUCUAUUGCGCUUGUGUCCUGCUUGUCAGCUUCUGAUUGGCUACUGGAGAAAACAGAAUGGUGAACCAGAUGGGCCUUUGGCCUGUUCUUAAUACACACACAAGCUUUUGGACAGGAAUGUACUUGGCAGCCAUAUAUAAUUUUCUCCCCUCCAUUUUCAUUAAUGACCACUUGCUGUUUAAUUCAGUGGAGGGUGGGGGGAGUCCCAAGAAACCCCAAUGUACUCCUCUGGUAUUUUUGGAAAUGUCAGUACCACCCAAGGUAACUUUCCACUAAUUUUCAAGUUGUAGGAACACCCAUUACUCUGUAAUGGCAAUUUCCAUCGGGCAAAAUGUAUAGGUUCUUUUCCAUUCUUUAAUUGGUCAAAAAUGUUAGUACAGAUAUUUGCUAAACACCUUAUAAAUAGCAAGGGAGUUUUGUGCUGGCUUUCGUAAUAUUAACGCCGUACAUUAAAACUUGUCACGAUUUGGCUUAAGCCUCAUUUUUUCCAAGACACACCAUUUCCUAUAGCUUGGAACAUUUCCCCUUUUUUUAUUCAUAGGAAUAAGUUAGGCUGUGGAUUCCCUUUGAAUAAUAAUCAUAAAAAAGCCCUGGCCUUGGUCAAGUGUAACUGGCUUGCUGAUCAUUUCAUGUCUCUUUGGGGGGGUGAGCAGAGUUUCUGAACGCUUAAAUUGUUUCCUUGAUUUGCUUACCAGGGAGACAGAAUGGUUUACCUACCGGUACUUGCAUGAUGUAUUGAAAUGCAUGAUGCAGUUCAGAGCAGUGGUAGAAAUUGCAUCCUUGUUAUGUGCCCCCCCCCCUCGCUAAAGGUUGCUCUGCAGUGUUUAGAGUUUAUACGCCAAUAUGCUCUAUCAGAGCUCUCUAUGCCCUUGAGGCUGGUUUAUUCUCCCCCCCCCCCAAAAAAAAAUAUUCUUGUGCACAUGUCAUUAUAAUACAACCACCAUUUCUCCUCCAAACCAUUGGGAUCUAAAUCGGAUAUAUUAUUUAUCAACUUGAAGGUAACUUGUAUCUGUGUUGAGGGAUAGUGUUUGAUAAUAAUGCAAAACAGUUGAAAGAGGGGACUAGUUCUCCUUUUUCUUCUUUUUAGGAGGUGCUUGCUUAAGGCCUUUUGUGAAAUAGCAAAUGUUGUUUUUUAAUUUAGGCCACUUACUAAUUGGAUUUCCUGUAUCAUAGGAAAUUCCAAACCUGGGGCAAUGUGUUUUCCUAUCAUGGCUAUGGGUGAAAAGCCAGCAUUUAGAGUUUGCAAUCAAAAAGGGAAACUAAAAAGAUUGGCUGUGAUCCAGGUAAGGUUAGCUGUUGUGUUGUGGCCAAAUCCUAUUGAAAUUGAUGGGGCUUAAGUGAAUCAAGACAAUUUAUUUAUUUUAAGGGGACUUAGUCAUGAGUAACUUUAUCUGGAUUGAGGUUCUUGCAGCUUUGGUAACAUGGUAUGUGUUGUUUGCUGUUAUUUCAAAGAUUAAAAAUACAAAAUACACAGAAGAUAAAAAGAUUGUUUUUAUUUCUUAAAACACACCCAGCCACCCAAAAUUGGUUUGCAACACAUGAAAUGACAAUCUUGCAACAUUAUAACCCCCAAAUUGGUUUGCAACACACAAAAUGGCAAUCUUGCAACAUUAUAACAUUGCAAAGGUGCCUUUUGAUUGAGGAAGGAAAGAAUUGUCCCUGCAAUUAAUGAUUUUUGAUGUGCUAAAAAUAUUUUGCAUUUGUCUCUAUUUUCUUCUGCUCUCAGAUAGUAUGUCAGUAUGCCAUUCUUUUCUAUCAUAGAAUCAUAGAAUUGUAGCACUGGAAGGGACCCUAGCGUUAACCUAGUCUAACCUCUGCAAUCACAGAAACAAGUUAAAUAAUGCCUGGCAAAUGACCAUCCAACCAAUGUUAAAAACUUCCAGUGUCCAUGAGGCUGCUGUUAGUAAUUUUUGUAGUCUCCAACUUUGCAUCCACAGUGCAUAGUGGUGGCUGGUUUUUCCCCUUUGAUGAGGGACAGGCCUGCACCUUUUAUGGCCCUGUCUCUUUUUCUGGUUUUUUAGAUGUGGAAGCCAUUUUGUGUUAUGCCACACCCAUGGCAACUAUUUUGUGCCUUGCCACACCAUCCCUGGGGCAGCCAUUUUGUGAUUGGCAUCUGCAACAUUUUCUCUAUAUCCGCAACAUUCCCUCUAGCUCAGAAAGGUUGACAACUCCUGCUGUAAAGUGUUAAGGCCAGAUAUUGAGGUGCUUACAUGAUCCUGUUACAUCAAUGGGGUUACUUCUGAGCUUAAAACAAAUUUCUGAAUCCUUCACAGUCACCGGCCAGAGUUGGAAUAUCACCACUGUCUUCUCUGUUUUCAGAGUCGAGCUACAGCAAUUUAUCCUCUUUAAAAUACAUUAAAAAGUGAAUGCUACAACAGUACUUUUUCUGCCUUGUUAGAGGCAAAGAUCAGUGUACUUGGCACUAAAUGAAUCUGAAAAAGGCAUUGAAGACCCUCAGCAGGAUAAGGGAUUUCAUGUGGGCAACAUGGAAAGGGAAUAGUCAACCCCCCCCCCCCCCAAGUACUUCACAGUCCAUGAGAUUGUUCCUCUGAAGCUCCUACCUCUUUGGUUAUUAUGAUGUCUAGAAAGUAACCACAAAAAUGCUCUCAAAAUUUUAACAAACCAGCCAUUGUGUUAAGUAAGCCUAAGUAUGAAUAGUUGAAAUAAUCACAUAUUAGCCUUUCCCAGCCCACCCAUAUCUCAGUUUCUCCCCUUCCUUUUUAUUUUCAGAUUGUAAGACUCUUGAGCUAGGGGCCUGUCAUGCCUGUUCUUUGUAAAGGACUACGUUGCCUCCUGUGGGGUUUUUCACCUAUUAGAGAGUGGGCAGGACUUACUUCUUAUUAGUACAGUGGUACCUCAGGUUACAUAUGCUUCAGGUUACAUACGCUUCAGGUUACGCACUCUGCUAACCCAGAAAUAGUGCUUCAGGUUAAGAACUUUGCUUCAGGAUAAGAACAGAAAUCGGGCUCCGGCGGUGCAGCAGCAGCAGGAGGCCCCAUUAGCUAAAGUGGUGCUUCAGGUUAAGAACAGUUUCAGGUUAAGAACGGACUUCCAGAACGAAUUAAGUACUUAACCUGAGGUACCACUGUAUGCUGCUAGAUGAGUAUCUUAUGUAGUUGGUUUUGUCUGUGAUUUAUUUUUCCAUUACCUAGGUUUAAAUUGUUUUAAUGUGUUGUACUUUAUUUUCACCAAGUCGCUUUGAGACUUCUUAUUGUAAAAAAAGUGACAGAUGAAUGAAAUGAAAUGCACGUAGAUGGUGCUAAAUAAAUACAUAUGCCAAAGAACAUAAUGUUGAAGCUUGUGGGGAGUUUUCUCUCCAUUAUUCCCCUUCAAGAAACCAACCAACAGUGGCACCCUUGAGCAGUUCUUUAUGGUGUUUGCCAGAGACAAAUAGACACCAGUUGUGGCACAGAGGGUUGUGGAGGAAGGCUAAAUUCAGAGCUGUUGUUGCAAUGGCCUGUGAGUGCCCUUUCUGGCCCAGGAAUGUCUCUCACUCUGAAAUUUUAUCUUUAUAUCUGAUGGAGAUGUAAGAAAAAGGUGCAGGCGACUUCCUACCCUGUUACAAGCUGAGUGUACAAUUACAUCACUUCAGAUGUUUAAGACUAACUUUAUGUAUGGAAUUCUGCACUGAUUUUCUGUCCUCUCAUCACAAAAUAUCUGGUUGCGGACCUGGUUGGUUUUGUCUUUGUUGUGUGGCUCUCCCAUGGCAGGUUUUCAAAAUGAUGGAAGCCUGACAAUUUUAAUGCUUUAAUUUGUUGCUCUUGCUGUUGUUCAGGGUGUAGCCAGUAGCGUGUGGUCUGAAAAUGUUCCAAGGGUCCUUUGGUAAACUUUUCUAAGCAUUAGCUUAGAGAUCGCUAGUCCCUUUGCUUGCUCCCUCUCUUUUAAUUUGGUCAGUUUAUUUAUGCGAUUAUAAUAUUUGCCUCCCUGUUUGUCUUGGCACUUGAGUUUUUAGGCUUAAUGAACAAAUGCGUCCAAGAUUCAAUUCUUUAGUCAGAUUAACAUUUGUACUCCCCCUGAUUUUCUGUGCAAACAGUGUCUCCUUUGCUAGCAGCCAAAACAAAGCUUCCUACAUCACUACAGUGGUUUGUAAACAGUUCUAGUUCUUGCUAAAAUGAGUAAUUUCUUCACAGGAUACAAAGGCACCAGUUCUACAGAUUUUAGGCAGAGCUGCUGCACUAGAUUACCGGAGGCUAUUAUUAAAAAAAACCAGACUGCAAGUCAGAAUGUGUGCAGAGAUCAUUUUGCGUUCAUGGAAAUAUGGGGUCCCAAGCAGUGCU